RNAcentral lists this ribosomal RNA (253 nucleotides) under uncultured bacterium. RNAcentral's name for it is "partial 16S ribosomal RNA". It matches the Rfam family "Bacterial small subunit ribosomal RNA", at positions 524 to 776 of the family's 1533-position model. The record is from RNAcentral.
AACGUAGGAGGCGAGCGUUAUCCGGAUUUACUGGGUGUAAAGCGCGUGCAGGCGGUUGGCUAAGUUGGGUGUGAAAGCUCCUGGCUCAACUGGGAGAGGUCGCUCAAGACUGGCCGACUGGAGAGCAGUAAGGGAAGGUGGAAUUCCGGGUGUAGUGGUGAAAUGCGUAGAUAUCCGGAGGAACACCAGUGGCGAAGGCGGCCUUCUGGACUGCUUCUGACGCUCAGACGCGAAAGCUAGGGGAGCAAACGGG